GCAUGAUUCACACCUUUCCUGUCUAAGAUGAUUCCAGUUGCCUCCUAAAUACCUGACUGGAAGCCUAAUGCCUGACGUCAAAUUCUCAUCUUUUUUUGUAUUAAAAACUUAAAUAAGAAAACAAGGUCACCUAAAACAAUAGAUGGUAUUACAGGGACUAGUAAACAACCUAAAGUAUAGGUAGUAAUCAAGUUCGAGUGCCAAAUUAUAGUAUAAUACCGAUCAUGGCACGAUGAUACCUCAACAAUCAGGAUCCAUAAAAUAUAGCCCAUCAUUGAUCAUCACACUUGACAUCUAUGUCAUGCACUGAAAAUCAGGAGGAUGAACAAUUCCCUUCAUCAAUGAUAUAAGACCAUCCAGUAUUUCAUAUAUUGAGUUGGAACAAGGAUGUGCUUUAUCAGCAGCAUAGAAACAAUGAGUCGUGCUACUAAUGCUUAUCCAACUGCAACCAGGAGUUUUCCUUAAACCCCUUUCUUUCAUUAUUGUUCUUACCUUGGCUACAAUAUGCCAUCUCCUAAAAGAAGCAUGAAUAUUUGAGAGUGAGACAUAAUUUGAGGGGUUCUCAGGUUCUAAUUGAAUAAGAAACUUGUAAGCUAGAUCCUGCAUCUCAAGAUUCCCAUGUAAUAUGGAAGCACUAACAAGAGCCCCCCAAACACUAGGACCAGGUUCCAUGGGCAUUGCUUUAAUAAAAUCUAAUGCCAUUUCAAGGCGGCCUGAUCUACCUAACAUGUCCACAAGACAAGCGCAUAUCUCAGCCGUUGGCCCAAUUCCAUAUUCACUUAUUGCAGAGUUAUAGAUACGAAGGCCUUCAUCUACCAAUCCUGACCUGCCACAAGCAGAAAGAGCCCCUACUACUGUUAUCAUGUCUGGUUUAUUCCCUUUCUGAAGCAUUCUAUCAUAUAGAAAGACGGCUUCCUUUCCCAUCCCAUGCAAUCCAUAUCCAGAAAUCAAGGAACUCCAAGAGAUUGCAUCUCUACAAAAAGAUCUGUCCUCAAACACUCGUCUUGCAUAAUUCAAGUUACCACACUUGGAAUACAUGUCAAUCAAAGCAUUACAUAAAGACAAGUCAUGGUUCAGUUUUUUCCUAAUUGCAUAUCCAUGAAUUUGUUUCCCGCUAGUAAAAUCAGCAAGCAAGCCACAAGUAGGAAGAAUACUCAAUAGGGACACCCUAUUAGGUUCUAUUCCAUCUUUCACCUGCAUUUCAUGAAAAAGAACCAAGGCUUCUUCCAUAGCUCCAUUUUGCACAUAACCAUUGAUCAUUGCUGUCCAGACAUAAACAUUUCUCCUCUUCAUUCGAUCAAACACUCGUUUACCUGAAUCAACUUUAUUAUUCCUUGAAUACAUAUCAAUCAAACAACAUCCCAAAUGACUAUCUGAACCCAAGAACCCCCAGCCCAAUUCAUUUCUUACUAUGAACCCAUGAAGCUCCCUUCCAUAAUCCAUUUUCCCAUUAUCAUUAUUACAUAAAAGCAAAAGACUCGAAACUGUAAAUCCAUUGGGCUUGAACCCUUCAAUUUGCAUAUCUUUAACAAGUUCUAUAAUCUCCUUAGUGAAAUUACGAUCCCCCGAAUCCGCAUAUCCCGCUAUAACAACAUUCCAAGAAGUCGCAUUUCUCUCUGGCAUUUCACCAAACAGUUUCAAACAUUCUCUAAAUUCCCCACAUUUACAAUACAUAAACAUAAGAGAAUUGGCGACGAUAAUAUCCAAGACAAACCCAAUUACUACACUUUUCCCAUGAAUCAGUUUCCCAGCUUUCAAGUCACCGAUCUCACUGCAAACCUUGCAUAGUGUUGCAAGCGUAUAAUCAUCCAGCAACACACCACAGCAACACAUCUGAUAAAACAGACGAAAAGCUUCACCGUAUUUCUGGUUUUUAACAUACCCAUUAAUCAAUGAGUUCCACAGAUACACGCUCUUCUGUUCAAGAGAGUUAAAAACAAGUUGCGACUCAGUUGGGAAACCGCAAGCAGCAUAUGCGGAGAUGAGUUUAGUUGCUAAAAAGGGGUUUUGAGAGAAACCAAGAGAGAGAAUGCGAGCAUGGCAUUGGUGGGUGAGAUCCAGCGAGCUGUGGGCAAUUGAGAGCUGAAGCAAAUGGAGAAGAUUUCGAGAUGGAGAGGAGAGAGAGGCAGAGUGGUAAUAACGGGAAGUGACGAGGACAAAUGGUUUGAAUGAAGAGAGUCGGAUCAUUUAGAGCAACAGCUUGUUUUGAAGUUGGCGGGUGAUUCUUGGAGGACAAAAAGGAUAAUCAGCGAUCACUAUAACUAUUCCCGGUGACGCCUGCCCGGCCCGACACGGUCGGCCGAGACUGGAGUCUGCUCAAGGAUUAGAGUUUAG
Molecule: unclassified non-coding RNA, 2334 nt
Filed under: Hevea brasiliensis (rubber tree)
Lineage: Eukaryota; Viridiplantae; Streptophyta; Magnoliopsida; Malpighiales; Euphorbiaceae
Source: RNAcentral